RNAcentral lists this transfer RNA (77 nucleotides) under Chloroflexota bacterium. RNAcentral's name for it is "tRNA-Pro". It matches the Rfam family "tRNA". Rfam says of the family: Transfer RNA (tRNA) molecules are approximately 80 nucleotides in length. Their secondary structure includes four short double-helical elements and three loops (D, anti-codon, and T loops). Further hydrogen bonds mediate the characteristic L-shaped molecular structure. tRNAs have two regions of fundamental functional importance: the anti-codon, which is responsible for specific mRNA codon recognition, and the 3' end, to which the tRNAs corresponding amino acid is attached (by aminoacyl-tRNA synthetases). tRNAs cope with the degeneracy of the genetic code in two manners: having more than one tRNA (with a specific anti-codon) for a particular amino acid; and 'wobble' base-pairing, i.e. permitting non-standard base-pairing at the 3rd anti-codon position. RNAcentral also lists the same sequence under 4 other names. Lineage: Bacteria; Bacillati; Chloroflexota. The record is from RNAcentral.
CGGGGUGUAGCGCAGCCCGGUAGCGCACCUGAAUGGGGUUCAGGUGGUCGGCGGUUCAAAUCCGCCCACCCCGACCA